UUUGACAAAUAAAAAAAAGUGUUAGUAGAUUUUUUCUCCAUUUGACAAAUAAAAAAAAGUGUUAGUAUAUUUUUUCUCCAUUUGACAAAUAAAAAAAAAGUGUUAGUUUAUUUUUUGUUAAUUUGUUAAAUGUGUUAAAUGUGUUAAGUGUGUUAAGUAUGUUAAGUGUGUGAUUUUGUUUGACCAUAUAUUGUGCGGAAGUUGUACUUUUUAAUAAAAAAGUUGUAUUACAAUUGGAAACGAGUCUUAUAUCUUACCGGUUUUAUUUUAUUAUUAUAUUAUAUUAUAUUAUAUUAUAUUAUUUUUUUUUUUUAUUUUUUUUUUUUUUUUUUUUGUGUGUGUCUAGCUUUAUAAACACUUGUAACUAUUUUGUUGGUUGUUCAUUUGUCCAUUUAUCUGUUUUCCCACUCACUUAUAAAACCUGUCCGAGUGUUACAAAAAAUGUGUUACCUUAAGAGAAGCUUAAGUAAGAGCAUAAACUCUUUAGUGAUCCAUUUCGAAUUUGUAAAAUGUAAAAACUUAAAUAAUUAUACAAAAAAAAGGAAGGUACUACUUGAUCAUAUCUUAUGACCAAUUAAUUUUUUACGAAAAGGAUUUUUAUGAAAUACAAUUCAAAAUUUUAUUUUCUGACAUUUCCCAAAUUUAUCAUUGUGAUAAGUCCAACUAUAUACAUAUUAUUUUAAAAAAACGAGCGGUAAUAAAAGUAGAUGAUAUGUUUACAUACGUCCAUAGUUAUUUGUUUUAUUUGUUUGUUUGUUUGUUUGUUUUUGUUUUUGUUUUUGUUUUUGUUUUUGUUUUUGUUUUUGUUCUAUUUUCCCUGUUUACUUACAUCUUCCGUAGGUAACAAACAAUAUAGGGAUAAAGUCAAUAAACAAAAACGUUUUGAUAAAACAUUUAUGUGUUGGUUAUAGCACAUAUUAUAUGUGUCGACUUAACAGGAAUGUAUAUAUGCCUAUAACUAACGAAACAUAUGAAGAAAGAUGUGAACGGACUAAACAAAAAUUUGCAGUUCUCAAACUUGAUCGUUCUAUACAACCAUUUAUAGGGUUUGUCUUGAAAUUAUAUAUAUAUAUAUAUAUAUAUAUAUAUAUAUAUACGUGUAUAUACAUAUUCACUCACAAGAUCAUAUACAUAGGGUGUACAUUUAUUUUUUUUUAUAUUAUACUAUUUUUUUUUUUUUUUGUUAGGUAUAAGAAAGUCAUAAUUGAUGACUACUAUGUUUUUAUUCAAAAGUCAUUUCAGUGUGAGCACACACAAAAAAAAAAAAAAAAAGUCGUAUAAUUAAACAGUUGUAUAUGUAAUGUGUUUAAGUUUCUACUAAUAUUUAAAAUAUUAUAAAAUACUGUGUUUAAUUUUAAUUACUAUUCAAAUUGAAAUUUGAAAAACAUGACAACAUCAUGGUUUUGAAUAUACAAUUGUUAUUAAACUGGUCUCCUCUUAUUUUUACUUUUUUUUUUUUUUUUUUUUUUUUUUUUUUUUUUAAUUAGGCUUCACGUCUGUUUCAGCAGAAAAUGCUCUUUACAUUGAUCAUCGUAGUAAUUCAUAAAAAUAAGAACCUCAAACUAUUAACUUAAUAACAUUAUUACAAAUCAAAUUAAAUUAGUACAUUUUAAGUACUAAAUUGAACAGUUUGUUACCUGUACGUUCACACACAUAUAUAUAAAUAUAUAUAUACACAUUUUUAUUAUAGACAUUGAAAUAUGCAUAAAAAUAGAUCAUCAAAAAAGUAUGGUUGAGUUUGACCAGGUUACAUAAAAAAAAAAAAAAAAAAAAAAAAAAUACAUGCAUAUAUACUCCUACGCAUAUAGUACUACACAAAUAUGUGACAUGCAUAAUUGUAACAAACUUAUUAAUUGUUCAGACCCCCGAUAGUAACUUUUAUCAGUUAGCUAGGAAACAUCUAAGUUUUUUAACAGUAAUGAAUAAAUAAAAACAACUAUAAAUCUAUAGAAGUAUA
This 1957-nucleotide long non-coding RNA is filed under the name Piliocolobus tephrosceles (Ugandan red Colobus). RNAcentral describes it as "lncRNA (ENSPTEG00000002724.1)". Lineage: Eukaryota; Metazoa; Chordata; Mammalia; Primates; Cercopithecidae. The record is from RNAcentral.